Molecule: ribosomal RNA, 497 nt
Filed under: uncultured bacterium
Lineage: Bacteria
Description: partial 16S ribosomal RNA
Rfam family: Bacterial small subunit ribosomal RNA
Source: RNAcentral
GAUGAACGCUGGCGGCGUGCCUAAUACAUGCAAGUCGAGCGAACAGACGAGGAGCUUGCUCCUCUGACGUUAGCGGCGGACGGGUGAGUAACACGUGGAUAACCUACCUAUAAGACUGGGAUAACUUCGGGAAACCGGAGCUAAUACCGAAUAAUAUAUUGAACCGCAUGGUUCAAUAGUGAAAGACGGUUUUGCUGUCACUUAUAGAUGGAUCCGCGCCGCAUUAGCUAGUUGGUAAGGUAACGGCUUACCAAGGCGACGAUGCGUAGCCGACCUGAGAGGGUGAUCGGCCACACUGGAACUGAGACACGGUACAGACUCCUACGGGAGGCAGCAGUAGGGAAUCUUCCGCAAUGGGCGAAAGCGUGACGGAGCAACGCCGCGUGAGUGAUGAAGGUCUUCGGAUCGUAAAACUCUGUUAUUAGGGAAGAACAAAUGUGUAAGUAACUAUGCACGUCUUGACGGUACCUAAUCAGAAAGCCACGGCUAACUACGUG